Molecule: long non-coding RNA, 424 nt
Filed under: Ananas comosus (pineapple)
Lineage: Eukaryota; Viridiplantae; Streptophyta; Magnoliopsida; Poales; Bromeliaceae
Description: long non-coding RNA (ACOM_LNC004871)
Source: RNAcentral
UAAUUUUUUUUUGAAGGUUAUAUUUUUAAAAAAAUUUUCUGUAAAUAUUUAUUUUUUUAUUACUUUUCAUUUUUAAUUUUUAAAAAUUUAUAUUCUACUCUUUCAACAUUUUAAACUAUCCCCCCCCCCCGUUAGGGUUUCAUCCCUAUUUCGUCUAUUUCUUAUAAUUUAUAUCAAAAAUAUCUUUCAAAAUGACAGAAAUAUAUUUAAAAAAUUAGUUUUUCUUAUAGAAGAAAUAAGGACACUUUGCUUAUUUUGUUAUCUCCAUUAACGUCGUAUCCUUCUAAUAUAAAUUUUUAAAGUCAGUGAGGGAAAGGAAAAAAUCGGGUAUUCACAGAAAGGGAUUAUGUAAUUUAGUCAUUUCUUAAAUAGUAUAGACUAUAUUUAUUAUCUUAAAUUUUUUAUUUUAAAUUACUAAUAAUUA